GCCUGGGCGGCUCAGUCAGUUAAGCAUCUGACUUUGGCUCAGGUCAUGAUCACUUAGUUUGUGAGUUCAAGUCCCACAUCAGGCU
This 85-nucleotide transfer RNA is filed under the name Felis catus (domestic cat). It matches the Rfam family "tRNA". Rfam says of the family: Transfer RNA (tRNA) molecules are approximately 80 nucleotides in length. Their secondary structure includes four short double-helical elements and three loops (D, anti-codon, and T loops). The record is from Rfam by way of RNAcentral. Lineage: Eukaryota; Metazoa; Chordata; Mammalia; Carnivora; Felidae.